Molecule: ribosomal RNA, 428 nt
Filed under: uncultured bacterium
Lineage: Bacteria
Description: partial 16S ribosomal RNA
Rfam family: Bacterial small subunit ribosomal RNA
Source: RNAcentral
GUAGGGAAUAUUGCGCAAUGGGGGAAACCCUGACGCAGCGACGCCGCGUGAGUGAUGAAGGCCUUCGGGUCGUAAAGCUCUGUUGCAGGGGAAUAAAAAAAUGAAGGUACCCUGUGAGGAAGGAUCGGCUAACUUCGUGCCAGCAGCCGCGGUAAGACGAGGGAUCCUAGCGUUGCUCGGAAUCAUUGGGCGUAAAGAGGGCGUAGGUGGCUUGGUAAGUCAGGUGUGAAAGCCCAGGGCUCAACCCUAGAAGUGCAUUUGAUACUGCUGAGCUUGAGUGUCGGAGAGGUUACCGGAAUACCUGGUGUAGUGGUGAAAUACGUAGAUAUCAGGUGGAACACCGGAGGCGAAGGCGGGUAACUGGACGAACACUGACACUGAGGCCCGAAAGCGUGGGGAUCAAACAGGAUUAGAUACCCCUGUAGUCC